This 2308-nucleotide ribosomal RNA is filed under the name bacterium. RNAcentral describes it as "partial 23S ribosomal RNA". It matches the Rfam family "Bacterial large subunit ribosomal RNA", at positions 463 to 2799 of the family's 2925-position model. The record is from RNAcentral.
AGGCUAAAUAUGGUAUGUUAAGCGAUAGAGAAAGUACCGUGAGGGAAAGUUUGAAAAGAUUUGCCUAAGGCAUAGUGAAAAAGAGAUGAAAUAGUAGUUCUAUAAGCAGCCGGAAUAAAUCCUUAAAUGGAUAAUGACGGUGUACCUUUUGCAUAAUGGGUCAGCAACUUAAUCGGUGGUGCAAGCAGAAAUGCCUAGAUAAAACGACUAUAUUACGAAUGAUGGUAAUAAGUACCCUCGAUUAGACCCGAAACCAAGUGAUCUUACUAUGGUCAAGUAUAUAAAUGACUGAACGGAUGUUUGUCGCAAAAAGCUCCGAUGAACUGUGGUAAGUAAGUGAAAGACAAAUCUGACUUGGAGAUAGCUGGUAUUCCGCGAAACCUAUUUUAGUAGGUCAUCCAUAAAAAAAAACUACAACUAAAUUUAUUAGUAAUUUUACUUAUUAGCAGGUACAGCACUUGAAUUCCAUAAUUUAAAUCUUGUAAUAAUAUUUAAAUUUAUAUUGGGGGGUCGUGAAGGCUCUAUCAUUGGAAAUUAACCUCGGAAUGGCAAAUAAGAAUAAUGGACAAUCAGACACAUGGUGCUAAGGUCAUGUGUCAAAAGGGAAACAGCCCAGAACAAGAAAAUUAAGGCUCCAAAAUUAUUGUGGUUUUAUUUUGUUCUAAAGAUAAAACAACUUAUUGAGUCUUCUUAAAGAAGAUUUAAUUCAGUUAAGUGAAAUAAAGGGAGUUAUUCACCUUCUACAGCCAUGAAGUGAGCUUAGAGGCAGCUAUCUUUUAAAGACCGCGUAAUAGCGCAGUGGUCCAAAAUUAAAGGGAGAAUAGCACCGAAAAUUUAUCGGAUCUAAACAAUAUGCCGAAAUCUUGUCUUUAUAUUAUAUAUAUAAUAUAAAGGGUAGCGGAACAUUCAGUAAAUGUAUGAAGAGUAGUGUUUCAUUACUUGGACAUAACUGAAGAGAGAAUGCUGACAUGAGUAACGUUAAAGGUGGUCAAUUUAUUUUUUUUUAUAAAAAUAUAUUAAUAUAAUCCACCUCGCCUUAAGCAGAAGGGUUUCAAGGCAAUGCUUAACAGCCUUGAGUAAAGUAACGGCCUCUAAGAUAAUAACCGAAAGGGUUAAAACGAUGAGUAAAUGAAUAUCUUUCUUUUUGAAUAAAAACCUUUUAAAUUAGUUAAAAGGUUCAGGAAAAAACAAAGAGAUUAUUUAAAUUAAAUAAUAAAACCGUACCCUAAACCGACACUGGUUUGCUGGUAGGGAAUACUAAGGCGUAUGAGAGAACUAUCGCGAAGGAACUCGGCAAAAUGCCUCCGUAACUUAGGGAGAAGGAGUACCGUUCGUUAAUUCGAACGGCCACAGAAAAUCGUGUUGUACAACUGUUUACUUAAAACACAGUACUUUGCAGAGACGUAAGUCUAAGUAUAAGGUAUGAAAUCUGCCCGAUGUCAUAGGCUAACUGAGGGUAUGAAAUUACUUAAAGGAACCCCUGAUCAAUGGCGGCCUUAACUAUAAGGGUCCUAAGGUAGCGAAAUUCCUUGGCCGUUAAAUGCGGUCCAGCAUGAACGAUCCCAUGAUACAACAGCUGUCUCCGCGAUAGACUCAGUGAAAUUGGAAUAGCUGUGCAGAUACAGUUUACCCAUAGUCAGACGGGAAGACCCUAUGCAGCUUUACUGUAACUAGUUAUUGCUUGCGAUCGGAUUAGGUUGUAGAGUAUAAGGUAGUCGAUUAGACCUAUGUGAAACACCUUUACCUAUUAGGCCGUAAGCUGGUAGAGCUAUCGCUUUACCCUUUAUCAAAAUUAUAUAAUUGAGAAAGUUUCUAUUGAAAUAUAAAAUUGAUAUUUUAGUUGUGUAAUAACAAUUAAAAUAUUCAAUAAGAAAAAGAGCAGCUGUUACUUUAUUUUUAACUUAUAAAGACAGCUGUGACAGUGACUAGCUGGCAGUUUUUGUGGGGCGCAAUUCUCAAAAAAAGUAUCUGAGUAAGUCCGAUUAAUUUAAUCUUAGUCUUUAUUGACAAGGAUAAAAUUUAAAACGUACGUCGUGAGACAGUACGGUCCCUAUCUUCUAUGGGAAAUUAGAGUCGAAAAAGGAUCUGUCCUUUGUACGCAAGGAUUUGGAUGGACUAACCUCUUGUUUACCUGUUGUUUAUUUUAGUCUGCAUCUUCCUUAAUUCCAAAUUAAGGAAGAUUCGCUGAGGACUUAAAAAAAAAAAUAAUUCUAGUUAAAACUAGUUUGAAUUAUAUAAAUAGGCACGGCAGGAAAGCUACGUUGGGAAUGGAGAAAGGCUGAAAGCAUCUAAAGCCUGAAAUCACCCU